CAGGGAAAAGGUGGAAAACACAGGGAAAAGGUGGAAAAACACCAGGAUGAGGCAAAACCCGCCAAAAUGAGGUGGGAAAACACCGGUAAAAAGUAAAAAACGCCCAGAAUGAGGUGGAAAAAUCCCAAAAUGAGGUGGAAAUGGAGGGAAUAAUUGAGGAUUCAUGGAUUGGGAUAAGGAUCGGGAGAGAUCCCUUGGAAAAUCCCAUCCGGGCACGACAGACUCGGCAUGUGGGAUACGAUGAGUUUAUUUCCAACAGAAUCAGAACAGGAUUAACAGGACCCCAAAUCCGACUUUUCCCUCCCCCAAUUCCCUCUCUCCCUCAAUCCCUCAAUCCUGGAAGCCGGGGCCAUCCCAGGGGAGUUUUCCAUGGAUUUUUCCAACGUGAAUCCAUCCCACAGCGAGUUUUUCGUGGAUUUCUCCGCCACGGGAAAGAGUUUUCCAUGGAUUUAUCAACGUGAAUUCGUUCUACAGCAAAUUUUUCAUGGAUUUCUCUGCCACGGGAAAGUUUUCCAUGGAUUUUUCCCAUGUGAAUCCAUCCCAAGGUAAGUUUUCCAUGGGUUUCUCCAUGAAUCCAUCCCAAGGUGAGUUUUCCAUGAUUUUUCCAACUCAAAUCCAUCCCACAGCAAGAGUUUUCCAUGGAUUUCUCCAACGCCUCAUUCCUGUGGAAGACAAUUCCUCAUGGACUUUUCCAAGGAGUCAAAGCUUUGGGAAUAUCCUGCUCCAAAGGCUUUUUCCUCUGUGGGAUUCCUGCCAGGAAUCUGCUCCUUUUUCCAUGGAUCCCUGCUAGGAUCCCGCUCCAGGAUGAGCUUCCUGUCGGACGCGCCACGGAAUUUUGGGAAUUUCCACUCCAGCACCUUGGAAUCAUCUCCGGAGUCGUUCCUUUCCAAAAUAUUCCCGCUACGGAAUUCCAUCUGUGCCGUGAUUGGUUUCUUCCGACUUAAUUCUUAUUCCAGAGGCGGUGCUGCCGUUCCUGGACACGGGAGAAGCUUCCGGCAGCUUCCCAUGAAAUCCAGCCCCCGGAGCCUCCCGGAAUUCGGCCGUGCAAAGCCAGUCCUAAUGGAAAAACCUUGGGAUGGGCUGGAAAAAGAAUGAAAUGAGGAAAAAAUA
Prinia subflava (tawny-flanked prinia) is the source of this 1110-nucleotide long non-coding RNA. RefSeq lists it as uncharacterized. The record is from RefSeq and is a predicted model, not a curated record. The transcript has 2 exons. NCBI's taxonomy places the organism in Eukaryota, Metazoa, Chordata, Aves, Passeriformes, Cisticolidae.